AUUGAACGCUGGCGGCGUGCCUAACACAUGCAAGUCGAGCGGCAGCACUGGAGCAAUCCUGGUGGCGAGCGGCGGACGGGUGAGUAAUGCUUUGGAAUCUGCCCAUCAAUGGGGGACAACCCGGGGAAACUCGGGCUAAUACCGCAUACGUCCUACGGGAGAAAGCGGGGGAUCGCAAGACCUCGCGUUGAUGGAUGAGCCAAAGUCGGAUUAGCUAGUAGGUGGGGUAAUGGCCCACCAAGGCGACGAUCCGUAGCUGGUCUGAGAGGACGACCAGCCACACCGGAACUGAGACACGGUCCGGACUCCUACGGGAGGCAGCAGUGGGGAAUAUUGGACAAUGGGGGAAACCCUGAUCCAGCGACGCCGCGUGGGUGAAGAAGGCCUGCGGGUUGUAAAGCCCUUUCGUUGGGGAAGAAAAGUUGCUACCUAACACGUAGCGACCUUGACGUUACCCAAAGAAGAAGCACCGGCUAACU
Molecule: ribosomal RNA, 479 nt
Filed under: uncultured Gammaproteobacteria bacterium
Lineage: Bacteria; Pseudomonadati; Pseudomonadota; Gammaproteobacteria
Description: bacterial SSU rRNA
Rfam family: Bacterial small subunit ribosomal RNA
Source: RNAcentral